UCAAAGAUUUAUCGCUUAGAGAUGGACUCGCGUCCGAUUAGUUAGUUGGUGAGGCAACGGCUCACCAAGACCGCGAUCGGUAGCCGGACUGAGAGGUUGAACGGCCACAUUGGGACUGAGACACGGCCCAGACUCCUACGGGAGGCAGCAGUGGGGGAUAUUGCGCAAUGGGGGAAACCCUGACGCAGCAACGCCGCGUGAAGGAUGAAGGUCUUCGGAUUGUAAACUUCUUUUAUUAAGGACGAAUAAAGUGACGGUACUUAAUGAAUAAGCUCCGGCUAACUACGUGCCAGCAGCCGCGGUAAUACGUAGGGAGCAAGCGUUGUCCGGAUUUACUGGGUGUAAAGGGUGCGUAGGCGGCUUUGCAAGUCAGAUGUGAAAUCUAUGGGCUCAACCCAUAGCCUGCAUUUGAAACUGCAGAGCUUGAGUGAAGUAGAGGCAGGCGGAAUUCCCCGUGUAGCGGUGAAAUGCGUAGAGAUGGGGAGGAACACCAGUGGCGAAGGCGGCCUGCUGGGCUUUAACUGACGCUGAGGCACGAAAGCGUGGGUAGCAAACAGGAUUAGAUACCCUGGUAGUCCACGCUGUAAACGAUGAUAACUAGGUGUGGGGGGUCUGACCCCUUCCGUGCC
This 629-nucleotide ribosomal RNA is filed under the name uncultured bacterium. RNAcentral's name for it is "bacterial SSU rRNA". It matches the Rfam family "Bacterial small subunit ribosomal RNA", at positions 201 to 847 of the family's 1533-position model. The record is from RNAcentral.